GACGAACGCUGGCGGCGUGCUUAACACAUGCAAGUCGAACGGAAAGGCCCUGCUUUUGUGGGGUGCUCGAGUGGCGAACGGGUGAGUAACACGUGAGUAACCUGCCCUUGACUUUGGGAUAACUUCAGGAAACUGGGGCUAAUACCGGAUAGGAGCUCCUGCUGCAUGGUGGGGGUUGGAAAGUUUCGGCGGUUGGGGAUGGACUCGCGGCUUAUCAGCUUGUUGGUGGGGUAGUGGCUUACCAAGGCUUUGACGGGUAGCCGGCCUGAGAGGGUGACCGGCCAAAUGGGGACUGAGAUACGGCCCAGACUCCUACGGGAGGCAGCAGUGGGGAAUAUUGCAAAAUGGGCGGAAGCCUGAGGCAGCAACGCCGCGGGCGGGAUGACGGCCUUCGGGUUGUAAACCGCUUUCGCCUGGGACGAAGCGUGAGUGACGGUAAUGGGUAAAGAAGCACCGGCUAACUACGUG
RNAcentral lists this ribosomal RNA (468 nucleotides) under uncultured bacterium. RNAcentral describes it as "partial 16S ribosomal RNA". It matches the Rfam family "Bacterial small subunit ribosomal RNA", at positions 28 to 507 of the family's 1533-position model. The record is from RNAcentral.